UUGGAGAGUUGUGGGUUUUAAUGCAUGCAGCCUAUACUAACGCUGACUUGAAGGUGAAACGAAUCAAGCACAGGUCUUCGUGCCUCAGCCUCGUAAGCAGUCCGGUCAUCGAACAAGCCGACAGCUCCAGCACAUCGAGGUGUCAGUGAAAGAUACGUGCGAGACAUGAAACUGAACUGCAAUCACUGCUCCACUCCAUCUAGCACAGCUCUGCCUGAUCGCGGGCAGGGAACUGCUGCAGCCCUUGGACAAGCACAACAGCCAUCCUGAGACGUGUGGUAAUCUUGUCAAGAAUACAGCUGCUGAUUCUGUAAGAAAUUAAAAAACACUUAAUUAAAACCACAA
Molecule: long non-coding RNA, 345 nt
Filed under: Lepisosteus oculatus (spotted gar)
Lineage: Eukaryota; Metazoa; Chordata; Actinopteri; Semionotiformes; Lepisosteidae
Description: lncRNA (ENSLOCG00000022835.1)
Source: RNAcentral